CAGCCGCCGCGGGAAUACGUAGGUGGCAAGCGUUGUCCGGAAUUAUUGGGCGUAAAGGGCUCGCAGGCGGUUUCUUAAGUCUGAUGUGAAAGCCCCCGGCUCAACCGGGGAGGGUCAUUGGAAACUGGGAAACUUGAGUGCAGAAGAGGAGAGUGGAAUUCCACGUGUAGCGGUGAAAUGCGUAGAGAUGUGGAGGAACACCAGUGGCGAAGGCGACUCUCUGGUCUGUAACUGACGCUGAGGAGCGAAAGCGUGGGGAGCGAACAGGAUUAGAGACCCCUGUAGUCCCUGUCUCUUAUAA
Molecule: ribosomal RNA, 301 nt
Filed under: uncultured bacterium
Lineage: Bacteria
Description: partial 16S ribosomal RNA
Rfam family: Bacterial small subunit ribosomal RNA
Source: RNAcentral